ACUCAAGUAAAGUACCGAUACUCAAAAAGUGUACUUAAGUACAAUACUCAAGUAAAUGUACUUAGUUACUGUCUGGCUCUGGCAGUUUGUGAUGGUGUAAUCGAUUUCUUUUGGCUGCAUGUUUUUGUUUGGUCAGGGGCCUCUGAAGUAGAUCAAAUGCAGUUGUUCAUGUUGUUGGAGACUUGUAUUAUUGUCCGCUAAUCAAAUAACAUAUUCUUCAAUUGAUAAAAGCCUCACACUGGUUUUCAUACUUAAAAGCCACAUACGUGUCUUUACAAGUAUAGAUGAAAGUGAAAGUAAUGUUACUAGCUUAUAUAUACAGCUGCUCUGAGAAGACGGGACAUUCCCUGAAAAGGUUUCAGAAUCGUUCAGUAGCAGUUUGGAUUAGAGGUAACAAUGGAAAAAUCUCCCACUUCUAAUGUGAAGAGCAUCUUUCGCAGAUUUUCUUUAUUUAGAAAAAGCGAUGGGCACAUUAAAAAGAAACAAUCUAUACGGUCAUUAAAAGCAUUUACAUCAGAGGAUAAAGACGGGAAAGUUACCCCAGAGAAAUUUGAAUUUAAGGCCACAGAGAUUCCUCUAAAGCCAUGCUCAGGUAAAUCUCUAGUUAGGUUGUGUUAG
RNAcentral lists this long non-coding RNA (618 nucleotides) under Sinocyclocheilus anshuiensis. RNAcentral's name for it is "lncRNA (ENSSANG00000018189.1)". Lineage: Eukaryota; Metazoa; Chordata; Actinopteri; Cypriniformes; Cyprinidae. The record is from RNAcentral.